This 397-nucleotide ribosomal RNA is filed under the name uncultured bacterium. Its description in RNAcentral is "partial 16S ribosomal RNA". It matches the Rfam family "Bacterial small subunit ribosomal RNA", at positions 360 to 775 of the family's 1533-position model. The record is from RNAcentral.
AAUAUUGCACAAUGGAGGAAACUCUGAUGCAGCGACGCCGCGUGAACGAUGACGGCCUUCGGGUCGUUAAGUUCUGUCAUGGGGGACGAUAAAGACGGUACUCGUGCACGAAGCCGCGGCUAACUAUGUGCCAGCAGCCGCGGUAAUAUAUAGGGGGCGGGCGUUGUCCGGAAUUAGUGGGCGUAAAGGGUUCGUAGGCGGGUUUUUAAGUCAGAUGUGAAAGGUCACGGCUCAACCGUGGUAAGCAUUUGAAACAGAAAGACUUGAGUUAAGGAGAGGAAAGUGGAAUUCCUAGUGUAGCGGUGAAAUGCGUAGAUAUUAGGAGGAAUACCAGUGGCGAAGGCGACUUUCUGGACUUAUACUGACGCUGAGGAACGAAAGCGUGGGGAGCAAACAG